GCCUUCGUGGUGUAGUGGUCAACACUCUUGGCGCAUAACGAGAGGUCCGAGGUUCGAGUCCUGGCGAGGGCA
This 72-nucleotide transfer RNA is filed under the name Stegodyphus mimosarum. It matches the Rfam family "tRNA". Rfam says of the family: Transfer RNA (tRNA) molecules are approximately 80 nucleotides in length. Their secondary structure includes four short double-helical elements and three loops (D, anti-codon, and T loops). Further hydrogen bonds mediate the characteristic L-shaped molecular structure. tRNAs have two regions of fundamental functional importance: the anti-codon, which is responsible for specific mRNA codon recognition, and the 3' end, to which the tRNAs corresponding amino acid is attached (by aminoacyl-tRNA synthetases). tRNAs cope with the degeneracy of the genetic code in two manners: having more than one tRNA (with a specific anti-codon) for a particular amino acid; and 'wobble' base-pairing, i.e. permitting non-standard base-pairing at the 3rd anti-codon position. Lineage: Eukaryota; Metazoa; Arthropoda; Arachnida; Araneae; Eresidae. The record is from Rfam by way of RNAcentral.